CUACGGACUUAAUUGGAUUGAGCCUUGGUAUGGAAACUUACUAAGUGAUAACUUUCAAAUUCAGAGAAACCCUGGAAUUAAUAAAAAUGGGCAAUCCUGAGCCAAAUCACGUUUUCCGAAAACAAACAAAGGUUCAGAAAGCGAAAAUAAAAAAGGAUAGGUGCAGAGACUCGAUGGAAGCUGUUCUAACGAAUGGAGUUGAUUGUCUUACAUUGGUAGAGGAAUCCUUCUAUCGAAACUUCAGAAAAGAGGAAGGAUAAACCUGUAUACAUAGAAGAAUUGGUAUGAAUCGAUUCCAUAUUGAAGAAAGAAUCAAAUAUUCAUUGAUCAAAGCAUUCACGCAUAAUCUGAUAGAUCUUUUGAAUAACUGAUGAAAUCGGACGAGAAUAAAGAUAGAGUCCCGUUCUACAUGUCAAUACCGGCAACAAUGAAAUUUAUAGUAAGAGGAAAAUCCGUCGAUUUCAAAAAUCAUGAGGGUUCAAGUCCCUCUAUCCCCAAUUUGCCGCCCUAAUUAUUUCUCGUAUCCUUUUUAUUUAUUUUAUCCUUUUUUCGUUAGCGGUUUAAAAGUACUUAUCUUUCUCAUUCACUACUCUUUAUACAAAUGGAUCUGAGCGGAAAUGUAUCACAUGUCACAUGUGACAUAUAUGAUACAUGUACAAAUGAACAUCUUUGAGCAAGGAAUCCCCAUUUGAAUGAUUCACGAUCGAUAUUUUAAUUCAUAUUGAAACUUAAAAAGUUGUUCUUUUGGUAAAUUCUAGGACCUGGCUGAGGCUUUGUAAUACCCGUUCAAUUGACAUAUACCCACGUUCUCUAGUAAAAUGAAAAUGAGGAUGAGACAUCAGGAAUAGUCGGGAUAGCUCAGUUGGUAGAGCAGAGGACUGAAAAUCCUCGUGUCACCAGUUCAAAUCUGGUUCCUGACA
This 920-nucleotide long non-coding RNA is filed under the name Helianthus annuus (common sunflower). The stretch from base 1 to 422 matches the Rfam family "Group I catalytic intron". The record is from RNAcentral. Lineage: Eukaryota; Viridiplantae; Streptophyta; Magnoliopsida; Asterales; Asteraceae.